This is a long non-coding RNA of Chelonia mydas (Green sea turtle), 4171 nucleotides long. RefSeq lists it as uncharacterized. The transcript has 3 exons. The record is from RefSeq and is a predicted model, not a curated record. NCBI's taxonomy places the organism in Eukaryota, Metazoa, Chordata, Testudines, Cheloniidae.
CAGGGCUUGUUCAAGGCCAGGUAGCUACAACAGAGUCAAGGCUGCUGCUGGGAAAGACUGUAGUUGUUUCCUGAGUGGAGGGAGUUGGAGGCUGGCAAACACAGAGAGGAGGGGGAGCUAGAGAUGUAGGAAGAAGGUCUGGGAAAUAGCAACAAGAGGUAGGACAAUACAGGGACUGUUGCUGCUUGUUAUGGGGUCCCUGGGCUGGUAACCCAGGCCCAUCCUCUACCAGCCACUGGGGAGCGGCAAGGAUGUUGGAGGCAUCAGCCAGACCACAAGUCUGGAAAGAUUGUGAAUUGCCCAGAAAGGGAGGACUUUAGUGACCAGGUCAGAGGGCCAAGCCACAGAGAGGAAGCUGCACACCCAGGAGUGAGUGGUGCAGCAGCAGGAGAAGAUAAUACCGGAAGGAGAGUGCAAGUUGCCAGAGCUGAUCCCCAGGAUGGCCAGCAGGAGGUGCCACUGUGAUGGACAAAGAUUGGCAGAAGACAGGAAUCCUUAAUGAACUGUAACUGACAAUAUCAGGGAAAGUCCUUGUGCUUGCCAAUGGUUACCCUGCCCUGGAGACGCCAAAUUUAAUUAUCUAUAUGCUAUUGGACUCUCCCAGCGUUAGAGGGUAAUUAAUCCAUGCAUUGCUGUGGACUUGCUGACAUCUGUAUUGUGCCAUUCCAUAGGAUCAGAGGUGCAGUUUGGAUAAGCAAUCAACUGGUUAGCCUGUGUCUAGUCAUUAUUCUCAGGAUGAUGUCAGCAUACCCACACUAGGGCAUGAGACAGUUUUUCUGGGAAUGACUUUAUUGUGCCAGCCAGUCAGUGGCUGAAUGAUUCCCAGAAGUAUUUCUGUUAGGGGUAGUGAUGACCAUCUGAAAGCAGCUGCUGUAAAUAUGUACCAGAGCUGGCCACUGAAGCCUAGGAAAGUGUAAUAUUUUCUUUCUUCGUAUGAAUGGAAACCUGAUACUGCAGUGAGGGACACCUUAGAAAUACAUGCAAUGAGAUAUAAGCUUAUCUUCUUCCAUUCAUUUUCACGAGCAGAGGGAAGUCUGUGCCUAGGAGCGCAGACUAGAGGAGUGCGGAGAUGGACUGUGCUGCCUUCACAGCAUGCUCCUCUUUGUCCCCAAGAGAGGGAACUUGGAUGCGGGGAGUGGGUUGAGGGAAGGGCAGGAGGAGGCUGAAAGAUCUCUCCCAGAUUCUUCCCCCAUCAUACAGAGUCACCCCCCUCCAGGCUGAGGCUCCAAGAGCAGCCAUGUUCAGGAAAGCCUCCUUCAACAUUGUCCCUGUUGGGCAUGCGAUUCACGGGAGCUAGAUGAGUUUGGGGACCAUUGGAGAGCAGAGUGUUCUCCACUGGAACACAGGGCAACUAUGCGUUUGCAGAUGGAACUGGUAACUUCUUCAGGAAUGCUUAUGGGGAAACAGCUUCCCGAGAGAGAACUACAAUGAAAUUCAGUUAAUUGAAACUCAUUGAUUCUUUCCUCCCCCCCCCCCCCCCCCAAUUUUUGUUUGAGAAUAAUCCACAAGUAGGAGAAUUUGACCUUAAAUAACUAUUUGGUUAACUUUGCAUGCAUACAUACAUACUACAUGACUUGGUUACCCCUACAACUGAUUCCAAUAUUUUUUCAGAGUAAGCUUUGCAUUGUCUGCUGGGGUGAGUGGAACAAAAUAUUCGAAGCUCCUACCAUUUUUUUUUUUUUAACUCCCUGAUAACUUAAUCUCCUGAAUUCCAUUCACUCGUCCCCUCACUCUUUCUCAGUGCCUCCAACCAGGACAUUUGGAUUAAUGAGGAGAACUAAGGACUGGGCUGUGUUUUGUCGACACCUUUUGCAGUGAAAAUGCAUAUUUGCCACAAACUGGCACCGAUUUUACAAACUAAUCUGAAAUGUUUGAGCACAAUGAUUUUUUUAAGUUGUUGCCACCACUAAUACUAUGACUCAGAACAACUGGAAAGAACAAAAUUAAAAACAGCAAAAAAUGCACAUCUUCUCCCCACGCAAUACUUAGGGCUUACUUAUACAGCUGCAUUCUGUGCUUUGCUAAGAUGCAAUAGAGCCAUGGGGACCGACCAACAUUGAGUCAUCACCCACUGAAUAUCAAUCUAAUUACAGGAAUUUUUUGUGGGUGUGGCUUUUCAGUUCUCAUUUUCGGCUUUCUCUUGGCUCGCGAAAUCUAGAGGACCCCACUGUCUCUGCUGGUCUUAUUAGGUGGCAAAGGGCGGGAAUUACAGUAGAGGUGGGUGACAUGAGAUUACAAUCGAAUAAUAUUCCUACACAUGUGUAGGAGUUAAACCCUGAGAUUGUUAGAGCACUAGUGAAAACUCAUAAAAUAUCAAAAUGAGAAAUGACCAUGUUCUGAAAAUAAAACCUGGGAGUUUCAACUCUGUCACCUCUAGAAAAGCCCAGUGGGAGGGAUAGGAUUGCUAGAAUUAAAGGAGGCCUCCUGUUCCAAAUUUAUCAUUUGACCAAAUCUGAAGGCAUCUUCCUUUGCGGGGAAAAAAAAAAAACAGGAAAUGAUUCCUAUUCAGCUUCGGGGGCCACUUAAAGGUUAUGGUGCCAGUUUCAUUUGUGGUAAUAAACAGCAAAAUGCUUUAUUUUACUGAGCACAAAAUGUGAAAUGUUUUCAACCCAGUCAGUAACGGGUGAGAAUCCAGUUUGAGGCAUUCUUUGGCUGUUUUUUCCCCAUCUCUGAUAUUUAACUACAACUGGAGGUUUUCUACUGCUGGUUUGUUUUGGUUGUAAGGCAGGAUUAUUGUGUGGGUGUGGUUUUUUUUUUUUUUUUUAAUUUGAUACAGUCCUUUUAAUAGUGAUUUAUAUAUGGUGCUAUCCCAUUGAUGGAACAUAAAUCAGUGCAGAUGACUUGUUGAAUGAAAGGCAAACCUAAUAAGUGUUGAUUAAAAUAAGGUAUACUUAUCUAAACUGGCAUGCUUGGCUGCAUGCUGCUACAAAAUCAGUCUUUGGAUUCCAUAAAAUCAUAGUGUAAACUUCAAAGCAACAAACUGAGAUUAGACACAUCUGACCAAAACAAAAACGCUGAGACAUAUGAAUUCUCACCAAUGUUUGUACUUCAAUGGACCAUACAUGAAAACAGCUGAGAUUGAGUUUAUUUUUUAAGACAAAAGAAUAUAUGAAAUCACUCUUUUGAUUAAGUUGGUUGUAACUGUACCAUAUCCUUAGAGUGAAAUAAAGAAGAAAAGCAAUAACUGCAUUUACAGAUAGUAAAGGCCCAUACAUUGGAGUAUAUUUCUAUAUAUUGCUGUUGUAAAUAUUUAUUUGCUGUAUAAAGACUUUGACAAUAAUUCAGGUAGCUCUUAAGAAAACGGUGAUAAUUUUUUUGACUUUUCCAAAAGUGAGAGAACUUUACAAAAGGGAUCUUAAAUAUUUUUGAUGCCAUUCAAAUAUAAAAUCAAUUUGUUUUUCAGGAUGAAUUUUUUAUUCAUGUGCUUACUGUUGGGCAUGUGCUUAAGUGCCUCUAGAAUUUUCAGUUUUGCAUUUAGUUUUUAAUUGACAGUCCCUGGGGCAGUUCUGCAGCUGGUGUAAAUUGUCAUUGUUCCAUUGACUUCAGUGCCCCCUAAUGAUUCAGUCUGUAGCUGGCGCACAUACUAUGUAUAGCUGUCACUUAAGAUGGGCCAAGCAUUUCUACUCUAAAGGUUGUUUGUUUUUUUUUAGUUGCUAUAACUUUCUAAAACUUUCACUUUUUAGGCUGAAUUUUUCUGCCCAUUAGGUGAUUGUCUGUACUCAAACUUUCAAAACAUGCUGAAUCUAGGCAGAGCUUAUUGCCUCUGCUGUGAAUGUGCUUGAAUUAAUAGGCUUGAAGUCCUCUUCUCUUCCGUAUAGCUUGAUGUUUGUUAGUGGUUUCAUAUUCUAACACCUUGCUAGUGGGAAUGAUUGGCCUAGUGAGGUCUAUUGUUAUACACUUUAACAAUGUGUGUAAUGCUGCUGAUUGUGGGUGAUAAAAUGACAAAGGACUCUAUGCAUUAGAUUUGUGUGACAUAAUUUGUUACAAAAUAACUAUGAAGAACCAUGUCAUAUGAGGGAGGCAGAUUCAAGCAUAAAAUCUACGUUCUUACAACCUGAGGGCUGGCCUCCACUAUGAGGAGAUAGAUGCUGCUGCAGGUCUAGUGAAGGCCCAUUAAAUCAAUGGCAGAGCGCUCUCUGGUCAACCCCAGUACUCCAGCUCUCCAAGAAGA